Mobula hypostoma (lesser devil ray) is the source of this 12224-nucleotide long non-coding RNA. RefSeq lists it as uncharacterized. Lineage: Eukaryota; Metazoa; Chordata; Chondrichthyes; Myliobatiformes; Myliobatidae. The transcript is spliced from 3 exons. The record is from RefSeq and is a predicted model, not a curated record.
AAUAUGUUGCAGGCAGUUUACAAAACUUCUAAAUAUACUUCUUCUGAAUUACUCACAGCAAUCUGCAGCCUGUCAUUUCCAUUUAAGUAAUUUACUUUUGAUCCAAGAUGGUGGCCAAUGGUGUGCCUCAGGGAUCUGUUCUGGGACCCCUACUGUUUGUGAUUUUUAUAAAUGACCUGGAUGAAGAAGUGGAGGGAUGGGUUAGUAAAUUUGCUGAUGACACAAAGGUUGGGGGUGUUGUGGAUAGUGUGGAGGGCUGUCAGAGGUUACAACAGGACAUUGAUAGGAUGCAAAACUGGGCUGAGAAGUGGAAGAUGGAGUUCAACCCAGAUAGGUAUGAGGUGGUUCAUUUUGGUAGGUCAAAUAUGAUGGCAGAAUAUAGUAUUAAUGGUAAGACUGUAGGCAGCGUGGAGGAUCAGAGGCAUCUUGGGGUCCAAGUCCAUAGGACACUCAAAACUGCUACGCAAAUUGACUCUGUGGUUAAGAAGGCAUACAGUGCAUUGGCCUUCAUCAAUCAUGGGAUUGAGUUUAGGAGCCGAGAGGUAAUGUUGCAGCUAUAUAGCAACCCGGUCAGACCCCACUUGGAGUACUGUGCUCAAUUCUGGUCGCCUCACUAUAAGAAGGACGUGGAAACCAUAGAAAGGGUGCAGAGGAGAUUUACAAGGAUGUUGCCUGGAUUGGAGAACAUGCCUUAGGAGAAUAGGUUGAGUGAACUCGGCCUUCUCUCCUUGGAGCAACGGAGGAUGAGAGGUGACUUGAUAGAGGUGAACAAGAUAAUGAGAGGCAUUGAUCAUGUGGAUAGUCAGAGGCUUUUCCCCAGGACUGAAAUGGUUAGCACGAGAGGGCAUAGUUUUAACGUGCUUGGAUGUAGGUACAGAGGAGAUGUCAGGGCUAAGUUUUUAUACGCAGAGAGUAGUGAGUGUGUGGAAUGAGCUGCCAGCGGCGGUGGUGGAGGCAGAAAUGAUAGGGUCUUUUAAGAGACUCCUGGAUGGCUACAUGGAGCUUUCAAAAAUAGAGGGAUAUGGGUGAAGCCUCGGUAGUUCUAAGGUAGGGACAUGUUCGGCCCAGCUUUGUGGGCUGAAGGCCCUGUAUUUUGCUGCAUGUUUUCUAUGUUUCUAUGUUUCUAUUUACCCACAACAUGCUGCCUUUUCUACACUGGGAAGCCCUGCUUAUGCGAUCCAUGGAAGGCCCAUUUAUUACAAUGCCGCUACUAUGGAAACAGUGUUGGAGGUGAGGGAGAAGAGCAGGUGUCCUGGUGAGGUUGAGUGGGCGUGCUAAUCGGCCGCCGCUCCCUGGCGUACUCCUGGCUAACAUUCAGUCCCUGGACAACAAGCUGUGUGAACUGAGAGCCAGUAUAUCCUACCAGUGGGAAACAAAGGAAUGUAACAUUUUGUGUUUCGUGGAUACCGGGCUGUUAGAGGAGAUACCGGAUCACGCCAUCGAGCCCUUUGGGUUCUCCCUGUUCUGGGCGGACAGGUCAAAAACCUCUCUGGGAAGAGUAAAGGAGGUGGGGUAUGCUUCAUGGUCAAUAAUACUUGGUGCGACCCCCGGAAUGUGCAUGCCCUCAAAUCUUUUUGUUCUCCAGAUAUGAAGUACCUCGUGCAGCUGUGUAGACUUUUCUGGCUGCCUAGAGAGUACACAGCUGUUAUUAUCACAGCUGUGUAUAUUCCACCGCAGGCUGAUACUGACCUGUCUCUCACAGAACUGUAUGAGACCAUCAGCACCCUGGAGACCGCACACCCAGAGGUUGCCUUCAUCACCACUGGCUACGCCGACUAAAGUCUCUCCUAAGUCUUGGCAUGGGGAGAUAGCAUACUUGACCACUGCUACUCUCCCUUCUGCAACGCUUACAAAGUGCUCCUUCGUCCACCGUUUGGAAAGUCGGAUCACUCCUCCAUCUUGCUUCUUCCAAUGUACAGGCAGAAGCUAAAACGAGGCGGCCAUAGUUAAAACCGUCCACUGCCGGUCCAACCAAUCAGUCUCCAUGCUAUAGGACUGCUUUGAUGACAUCAACUAGAAUGUCUUUCGUGAUAAGGAUGCCUCUGAGUUCAUGGAUGGGGUCACAAGCUGCUUCGGAAGUGCACCGCGGAUAUUGACCCCAAAAAUCAGUCAGGCUCUAUCCAAAACAGAAACCCUAGAUCAACAGUUCCAUGCGAGCAGCACUUACCACACGAGACAGAACUUAUAUUGCCGGUAACCAACAGGAACUCAAGAAAUGUAGCUACAAUCUACGCGAAGUCAUCAAGGCAGUGAAAUGACAAUACAGGGACAAGAACCAGACACAACUCCCCACCAACAGCUUAUGGCAAGGUCUGCACACCAUCACUGACUUCAAAGCUAAGUGCAAUGGUGCUGCCAACAUCGCUGCCUCUCUCCCAGAUGAGCUAAUACUUUUUUACACUCGGUUCAAUGUUGACAACACCGAGCGUGAGGAGAGCCGCUGAAGUGACCUGCAGCUUGGUCAUCGCUGAGGCUGGAGUACGCAGGUGUUUCCAAUGAGUGGAGAGCCACAAGGCUGAGGAACCAGAUGGUAUCCCAGGGCGGGUACUCAGGAUGUUCACGACACAACUGGCAGAGGUGUUUACAGACAUUCUUAAUCUCUUCCUUUCUCAAUGUAGAGUGCCCUCCUGCUUCAAAACAUCCACUAUUGUUCUGGUACCUAAAAAGACCAGGGUAACAUGUCUGAAUGUCUGGCGUCCUGUCACACUCUCCUCAAUAAUAAACAAAUAUUCUGAGAGGCUGGUCAAGGACUACAUCUGCAGCUUGCUACCACCCACACUGGACCCCCUACAAUUCGCCUACCGACACAACCGAUCGACAGAUGACACAAUAGCCAUUGCUCUACACACCGUUCUUACACAUCUGGAGAAAAAGGAUGCUUAUGUGAGAAUGCUGUUCUUGGACUACAGUUCAGCAUCCAACACCAUAAGUCCCUCUAGGCUUCACGAGAAUUUCAGAGAUCCUGGCCUUCACCCUGCCUUAUGUAGCUGGAUGCUGGACUUCCUGUCAGAUUGCCAGCAGGUGGUAAGAGUGGCCUCCCUUAUCUCUGUCCUCAACACAGGUGCCCCUCAGGUCUGUGUCCUAAGUCCCUUCCUUUUCUCUCUGUAUAGCCAUGACUGUGUAGCCACCCACAGCUCCAAACUGCUAAUUAAGUCUGCUGACAACACUACACUGAUUGGCCUUAUCUCAAAUAAUAACAAGGCACCCUACAGAGAAGGAGUCAACACCCUGACACAGUGAUGUCAAGAAAAUGGUCUCUCCCUCAAUGUCGCAAAAACGAAGGAGCUGGUUGUGGAUUACAGGAGGAAUGGAGACAGGCUCACCCCUAUUGACAUCAAUGGAUCUUGGGCUGAGAGUUCCUCGGCAUACACAUCACCGAGGCUGUCACGUGGUCUCUACAUAGCGGCUGUGUGGUAAAAAAGGCACAACAGCACCUCUUUCACCUCAGAUGGUUGAAGAAGUUUGGCAUAAGUCCCCCAAAUCCUAAGAACUUUCUACAGGGGCACAACUGAGAACUUCCUGACUGGCUGCAUCACUGCCUGGUAUGGGAACUGUACUUCAGUUAAUCACAGGAUUCUGCAGAGAGUAUUGCAGACAGCCUAGCGCAUCUGUAAUUGUGAACUUCCCACUAUUCAGGACAUUUACAGAGACAAAUGUGUAUAAAGGGACUGAAGGAUCAUCGGGGAUCUGAGUCACCCAACCACAAACUGUUCCAGCUGCCACCAUCGGGGAAAUAGUACCGCAGCAUAAAAUCCAGGACCAACAGGCUCCGGGACAGCUUCUUCCACCAGGCCAUCAGACUGCUUAAUUUAUGCUGAUGCAACUGUAUUUCUAUGCUAUAUUGACUAUCCUGUCGUACAUAAUAUUUAUUAUAAAUUACUAUGAUUGCACAUUGCGCAUUUAGACAGAUAUAACGUAAAGAUUUUUACUCCUCAUGUUUAUGAAGGAUGUAAGAAAUAAAGGCAAUUCAAUUCAACAGCCUUUAACAAACUAGAUGAUUUCACAAUCCUCUAAAGGACUUGGUGGACUUCAUUCUCAGGCACACUUUAAGCAGACAAGGGAACAUCGCCACAGCCAAUAGAGAGGGAGGAGGGGAACACUCCAAUCUAGGCUAAAGUGGAGGGGAAUGAAACUUCCUCUACUCAGCAUCUUGUUAGUAAAUGUACAGUCACUGAAGAACAGGACUGAGGACCUAAAGGCAAGAUUGCUGUAUCAGAGGGAAAUGAGGAAUUGCUGUGUUCUCUGUUUCACAGAGAUAUGGCUCACUCCAGGCAAGCCAGUUUCAGCAAUCAGACACAAGGGCUUCUUGACACACAGGAUGGACCAGUUUGCAGAUUCGGAGAAGGCGAAUGAUAGGGGUCUGUGUUUCAUAAUAAGCUCUUUGUGGCGCUCAAAUACGGUGGUCUUGUUGCACUCUUGUUCCCCAACCUGUAACAUCUAAUGAUUAAGUGCCAGUAAUUCUAAUUAAUAAGAGAUUUCUCCUCCAUGAUCUUGACCAUGGUCUAUAUACUGACAAAAACCAAUGUUAAACUCAAUGUAUUGCAUGCUGCCUGUUGAAGAUUUAAUAUUUCAGUAAUAUUUGAGUGAUCUUGUAUUAUAUAUAUAGUUUGAUUAAGCAUUCUUGUUAAUUUAAAGGAUAAUUUAUGGAUUAUAUAUAAAAAUAUAAUUACAUACGUCAUCGCACUACCACAUGAUAUGCGCGUGCCUCGCUUAAAGCAAACUCAAACUACACCCAUAUUUUUGGAUUCCUUUUCUUUGAAUUAAUCUAAUAUUUUAAAGUUACAAAACAUAACAUUAGUGAUGAGGUAGUUUUAAAAUGAACCGGACAUGACUACUGACCUGAUAAAGCAAGGGAGACAUUCAAAAUAAAAUGAAAUGUGCGAGGAAUGGUUGAGUUUAAAAGAAGCACCACAGCACCUGGAGAGACAGCCUUUGGAAGGGAAGGUACAAUUGAAUUUUUUUUUUAAAUAGACCGUGAACAGAAGAAUUCAGGGUUCAGGAAGAGUGAGUACCAGGUGAUAAUAAUCAUAAAAAAAUUGGAAAUGGCUGGCUACAUCGGAAAGAUUGACGAGUUUGAUUACACAACGUGUAACUGGCUCAUGUAUACUGAACUAUUGGGACAGUAUUUUGAAGCAAAUGGAAUAACCUAGUGGAAGUGAGUGCCAAUUUUGCCAGCUGCUUUAGGGUUAAAGGCAUACAGUUUUCUUUGAAGUUUGACUGCCCCAACCAAAACAUCAGAAAUGAGGUUUUCUACUAUUGCAGAAGUGACGCAGGAACACUUAGAACCAAAUACAUUGUUAAUAGCAGAAAGCUUUAGGUUUCAUAAGCAGAAUCAAAAAGAAGGGGAGUCCAUUUCAGUGUACAUGGCUGAAUUGAAGCAAUUAACUGAGGAAUGUCAGUUCAGUAAUGGUCUUAAUGAUACACUAAGACAUCAUUUAAUUUGUGGAAUCUUAAAAGAAAGCAUUCAGAAACUGGUUUCUACUGAAAUACAGCUUACAUUCAAAGAAGCAGUGGAAACUACAGACGGAGACACAAUUAAGUUGCCAUCAGUAAUGAAAGUGAUCAUGAACAAAAUUGCAUUGUCUGAACAGAAACUAGCCUGACCGAAUAAACUGUACUACUGUUGUGGCAGGGGAUCACAUACUGUACACCAAACAAGUGCAGAUUUAAAGGCAAAACUUGCAGAAAAUGCAACAAAGUAGGACACAUACAAAGAGUAUGUCGGGCAGACAAAAAUAAAUGGACCGCUCAGGGAAGGGAAAAAGCUGCAAAGUCAAGCUGUGGUUUCAAAAAGAGCAUUAAACUGCAUGCUGUUGAUGAAAGAUCUGAUAGUGAUGAGAGUGACAUAGGAUUGUGUAGGAGUUUAACAGUGCUUAAUAGGAGUUUAACAGCAUGAAAAUUAACAGACUAGCAAUGUGGAUUAUGCCAGAAGUGAACAGGAAAUUAAUUAAAAUGGAAUUGGACACUGGUUCAGCUGUCUCUGUCAUUCUGCAAAAUGAGUUUGAAUGGCAUUUCAGAGAUACCAAACUGAAGCCUGCAGAUACACAAUUAAGAACUUAUGCUGGAGAAAAGAUAACUCCAGUGGGAAUGACAUUCGUAACUGUGACAUACAGCAAGCAACAAGCCACAUUAGGCUUGUACGUGGUCAGCCAGGACCAGCAUUGUGGGGGUUGUGAUCGGCUGAGUCAACUACAGCUAGACUGGAGACCCACCCACUAUUUGCAUGCCAAACCCUCAGCAAUAAAGUCAACUGCAAGAAAGGUACUGGAUGAUGCCACAACUGCUUCCAUGCCAAACACCACGAACCUUUGCCCAACAGAUGAUGAACAGGUGUUCGUGCCAGCCUCUGUGCCUCUGGUUGGAAAGCUUAUUGGACUAAGGAAGAACCAUGUUGCUCAGCGGAAUUGCAAAAAUGAUGAAAGCAAUAGUCGGACUGCAACAGGAUUUGUUGGCUUCUGAUAUGUUCAUCAGGCAGUUUCUUGCAAAAUGUGACUUGGUUUUAAGCUGGAAGAGAGUUCAGGAAGCUUCAGGAAAGUUGCAAGCAUUCGGCUUUUGUAUGAAGGAGCAGAGGGACUUUGGUGUGUGAAGAUAUCUUUGAAAAUGGCAGGCACGUAUUGAGAAUGGUUGCUAAACCAAAAAGAUUCCUAGGAUUCACAUCCAGAGGCUAACAAGUGGAAAAGAAAGGAGCUCGUGCUGAAUUUGUAAAUUGGUUAGAUUAUUAUCAGAAAACACCAUCCAGUUACCACUUUCCCAGUAGAAGAGAUUUACGAGGAUGUUUCUAGGGAAUACCAGAUGUAAGACUGGACUGGAGAAGCACCAGCUCAUAGUAACGAAGGUUGAGAGCAGAAAUGACAGCUCAAAAUCAGUUUCGAUGUGGGAGAGAGGGGGGAAGCUGUCACCAAGAUCAGAAGAUGUAUAUUCAAUUUGAUGGCCUCAGGUCAUGGAAAACUGUGAUAAAAAGACUUUUUACACUGUUAUGUUCAGUUGCUGAUCUUAGAGACAAUAGGCUGAAUAGCCUCUUUAUAUGCUGGAAUUAUCAAAAGAUUCCAUGAAACACAAAGCAGGUCACACACAGCACCAAGACAAGCAAGUAUUUACAGAACCAUUGUCCAACACACAGAAUGGAUUUAUACUGUAAGUACAUUCUAGAAAUCAAAAACUCUAUCAAUAUUAUCUCUUCAGAUAGAACUGAUGUCUUGUUCUUCGGCUGUCCAUCGAUUUCAAUGUUGACUGUGCUGAGAGUUUAGUCUCUGCAGGCACGUUUAUGGGCCACAAGACCAGCAUUGGAUUGGCACUGUCCCCCACAUCGGUUGCAUUUGUGAUUUGACUAGUCUAGCACCGAAUGUCUGCUUCAUAUUUCUUCUGCCUUUUCUCCUUGGUAGCUGGGAUUGGCUUCUUGACAACGCAGUGCCGACUUCUUCUGUCCAAGGCAUCUUUCUCCCAGCUGUUGACAUUCAUGUCAGUGAUCUUCAUCUGGUGCUUGAGCACAUCUUUGUAGGGCAGAUUCUGACCACCGUGCUUCCUUUUUCCUUCAUGUAGCUCACCAUAGAAAACAGCUUUGGGUAAACAAUCAUCGCUCAUUCUCGUGACAUGACCAGUCCAACACAGCUGAGGAGCUGUAAUGAGCGAUUCUACGCUGACUGCCCCAGCACGUUUGAGCACCUCCACAUCUGGAACCCUCUCUUGCCCCUUGAUGUGUAAUAGCUGUGAAGGUGCUGUUCUACCGGUAUGCAACUAGACGAGAUCUAGCAGUAGGAUCAUGGCUAGCUAAGUCAAGGAGGUGCUGCUCAACCCACUAAGUUCUUUCAACUUGUUGUUCAAGAUUCCAGCAUUUGCACUCUCUUUGGUCUCCAAGAGCUUUCUCUGAUUGGGUCCCUAAGAUUUGGAUGCUAGUUUGGUGUAUCUAGCUGUCUAUGCAUCUAAAAGGGCAGCACAGACUUUGCAAGAACCUUCACAGGAUUCAAACAGCGCUCAGAUCAAGACCAAGCUGAUUUCAGAAAGCUUCAGUUGCUGGGUCAGUCAGGCAUCACUAUGUCACUGGACGUCAGACAUCAUCAAAAUUCUUUCAAGCAGAAGUUUAGAGAAAUGCCAGGAAAUAGCAUUAUGGAAAGUAGAAAGAUGUACGUAACUAAUAGAAAGUUAUUCCAUUUUACUUAUUUAGAAUACCAAAAAAAUCACCAGAAAAAGCUAAUUGAAGGGUUGGUGUAUUGAGAUUACCCACAAUACUGGUACCUUUGAUAGAACUCUCCCUUUAUUGAGAAGCUGAACUCAGUGUUGGAAUCUAUACACAUCCCAAGCUUUUAUAGUGAUGUGAUUACUCCAGCAGUAGACAAAUAUUAAUGUUUUGUGGUAACUGUUGACUGAGGUCAUUUGAACCACCCGGGAUAAGAACUUUAAAUGUUAAACUAUCUGUGGUUUGCCAAAAGGACACCUGGAACUUUACACAACAGUAGUAAAAACUGGUUAAAACAGUGAAUAUUUUUGUUGUAGAGUAAAUGUAGUGUGUAGUGUUGUCUCAAAUGAACUCUGUGUUUCUUGGCAUCACAACAUGUUACAGGAUCAUUCAAAAGGUACAAGCAAGUAUCCCAUAAUAUGCAGAGUGGUUAUUAGACUUGUGCUGGUAUACUUGGCAAAACUCUUAUAAAUGCAUUGUGAUGUAAAGCAAACUAUGCACUGUCAAAUAAAAUUAUAAUCUGGUAUUUUUAGCCCAAUAUAUUAUACGUAAAAUUGUGCAUCAUCACAAUUUAAAAUACAAAUUACUGUACAUGGUUAUCCAUUUUCAGAAUGUGGGCAGCAUUGGCAAGAGCCUGGAGUUUUCACUUUUUAAGUUGCCUUAUCCCAAGGCAGAGCUUUCUUAAACUGCCACAGUCCAUAUGGAUUCAUCAAUCUUUGUAGCAGCUUUAUUUUGCUGCAGAAUAGUUGCAAUCCUGUUGAUGUUCUCUCCAGCUGGCCCUCCAAGAUCUUAACUCAUUCCAUUGACAUCCACACAAUGUACUGCAGGCUUGGUCCCUUUUGAUUUAUUGCUGCCCUGACCUCCCUUUUUAACUGCUUAUGAAAUAGCUAAUGACACUACUGAAAAAAAAACAGGAGAAAUUUUUGUCAUUAACUUUUCCACAGCUGAUGUUCCACAACAGGCCAGCAAUUUUCUGGCUUCUCCUUCGAUAGAUAAUGGUCUGAUGAUCAGAAUAUUUUGAAUUCAACUUCACAAAGAUGGCUUUGUAAGAAUUGCCAACAAGACCAAGGACCAAGGAAUGGGAAGUUGAGAAAAUACACAUCAGUUCUCAUUGAUGGGUCAGAGGUGGAAAGAGUGAGCACCCUCAGUUUCCUGGGCAUCAACAUCCUGAAGGAUUGAUAUGUAUUUAUAAAGAGAGCACACCAAUUACUACCUUGUUCGGGGUUUGAGACUUGCUGUCACAUUAGUGCUUUGCCUUUGAGGUUUAAGAGAUAAAAAGAGAUUGGCUUUUUUUUGUCAUAUGUACAUUGAAACAUUCAGUGCUGUUUAUGUCAAAUCAAAUCAGCAAGGAUUGUGCUUGGCAGCUUGCAAGUAUCACACACACGUCUGGCACCAGUGUAGCAUGCACACAAUUCUCUAACCCUAACUGUAAAUGCUUGGAAUGUGAGAGAACCCAGAGCAAACCUAUGCGGUCAUGGGGAGAAUGUACAGACUCAUCACAGCAAAUGAAGGUGAGAUCUGGUGCUGUAAUAAUGUUACACUAGCCACUAUGCUACCAUGCCACUUCUAAUUCACAGAAUUAGUCAAAUAUGUUGUAACUACUCAGUAGAUAGGCUGCACCAGAAGGAGAAAAGAGUAAAAAUAUUGCUUCUGGUCAAAAAGACAUCUGGGGAAGUUAAAAUAGGAGGGAAUGAGUGCAAUCUGAAUUUACAGGAGAGAGAGCCAAGGAAAACAAACCUGAAUGUUGGAAAUGAGAGGUACAAGGCUGUACAGGCUGAUUAUCUGAAACAGAUUAACUCAACGUUACUGCAAAAAUCUGCAACGUAUGUGAGUGGAAGACAAGGUGGUGUUUUUCAACCUUGUAUUGAGCUUCAUUGGAACUACAUAAGAGACUGAGUGGAGAUGCCAGACAUGGGAGUGAGAUGGAAAAUUAAAGUGAUGGUGACUGGAGUUGGAGGUUCCCAUCACUGGACGACCAUGAAGUUGUUCUGCAUUCACUGCUUGUUUUCAUCAAUGCAGGGAAGAGCAUGACAAGUGAACUUAGUUGUCCUUUCACCUGGUAUUUAGGUCCUGAGGAGCAGAACGGGAAGGAUUAAAAAAAGUAUUGUCUAUCUUCCUUACUAAUAGUCUAGUACUCACAGCCAAAUAUCUCAACUGGAAAUACCAUAGACUUGACAUUAUUAAUGGAUUUGUGGCUACAUUUGCUGAUGAUACAAAGAUAGGUGGGAGAGUGGGUAGUGUAGAGGAAACAGAGAGCCUGCAGAAAGAUUUAGAUAGUUUAGCAGAAUGGGCAAAGUGGCAAAUGAAAUACAAUGUUGGAAAGUGUCUGGUCAUGCACCUUGAUGGAAGUAGUAAAUGGGGAGACUAUUAUUUAGAUGGGGAGAGAAUUCAAAAUGCAGAGAUGCAAAGGGACUUCGGAGUCCUUGUGCAGGAUACCCUAAAGGUUAACCUGCAGGUUGAGUCGGUGGGGAAGAAGGCGAAUGUAAUGUUGGCAUUCAUUUCUAGAGGUAUAGAAUAUAAGAGCAGGGAUGUGAUGUUGAGGCUCUAUAAGGCACUUGUGAGACCACACUUGGAGUAUUAUGUGCAGUUUUGGUCUCUUUAUUUUAGAAAGGAUGUACUGACAUUGGAAAGAGUUCAGAUAAGAUUCACAAGAAUGAUUCCAGGAAUGUAAGGUUACUGUAUGAGGAAUGUUUGGCAGCUCUUUGGCUGUACUGUAUUCCCUGGAGUUCAGGAGAAUGAGGGGUGAGCUCAAAGGAACAUUCCAAAUAUCAAGAGGCCUGAGAAGAUUAGAUAUGGCAAAGUUAUUUCCCAUGGUAGGGGAUUCUAGGACAAGAGGGCACAACUUCAGGAUUGAAGGACGUCCAUUUAGAAAUGAGAUGUGGAGAAAUUACUUUAAUCAGAGGGUGGUAAAUCUGUAGAAUUUGCUGCCACGAGCCGCUGUGGAGGUCAAGUCAUUGGUGCAUUUAAGGCAGAGAUAAAUAGGCUCUUGAUUAGCCAGGGCAUCAAAGGGUAUGGAGAGAAGGCAGGCAAGAGGGCAUGAUUAGAAGAAUUGGAUCAGCCUAUGAUUGAAUGGCAGAGAAGACUCGAUAGGCCGAAUGGCCUACUUCUGCUCUAUAUCUUAUGAUCCAAAUUUUUAUCUGGAGUUAGAGCAAAAUCUGGAUACACAGUCAUGAGUGUAGAUCAAGGGAGUAGAUGAGUGGGGCUGAGGACACAGCCUUGAGGGGUGCCAUCAGGUGCCUAUGAUUAAGCCCGACUGAAACAAGGGACAGCUGGAAGACCCGGAGUCCGGAGUCCAUGGACUGGACCGUGAACCAGAACGCAGACUUCACUGACCAGACCAUGACCCUUGUUCCAGCAAUGCCUCAAGGUUGUCUGGGAAGCUAGAGUUAAUGCAUGCCUUGGUCAGCCUCUUGAAGCACUUCGUGAGGGUGAAAGCCAGAGCCACCAGGUGGUAGUUAUUAAGGCACACUACUUUGCUUUUCUUAGGUACUAGGAUAAUUGUGGUUUUCCUAAAGCAGGCGGAAACCUUAGUUUAGAGCAGGGAGAGGUUAAAAUGUCUGCAAAUACCCUGCCAGCUAAUCUGCACAGGACCUAAGGACAUGCCAGGGACACUAUCUGGGGCAGUUACUUUCCCCAUUCUCUGAAAACCUGAUUUUACAUCCACAAUGAUGACUGUAUGUUCAGAUAGUGUAGAUUAAAGGUUGUUGGAAUGGGUGGUAAUAUGCCAAUUUCCUUCCGUUCAAAAUAUGCAUAGAAUGCAUUAAGCUCAUCAGGAAAGAAUGCACUGUUGAUGGUGAGGUGGCCUCACAUUGUAUUGAAGGCACACAAGUCCUGCCAGCAUGACUGAGACUCUACUGUAGCUUGGACUGUUGUUAUCUCUUGGCAUCCUGUUAGCUUUACAGAGGAGAUAUCUAAAUUUCUUAUAAAGGUGAAACUCACCUGAUUUGAAGUUCAACUUCAAAGUUCAAAAGUUCAAAGUAAAAUUAUCGUCAAAGUACUUGUAUAUCACGAUAUACAACCCUGAGAUUCAUUUUCUUGUGGGUAUACUCAG